RNAcentral lists this ribosomal RNA (403 nucleotides) under uncultured bacterium. Its description in RNAcentral is "partial 16S ribosomal RNA". It matches the Rfam family "Bacterial small subunit ribosomal RNA", at positions 30 to 526 of the family's 1533-position model. The record is from RNAcentral.
AUUGAACGCUGGCGGCAGGCCUAACACAUGCAAGUCGAGCGAGCGGCGGACGGGUGAGUAAUGUAUGGGGACUGCCCGAUAGAGGGGGAUAAAUACUGGAAAAGGUGGCCAAUACCGCAUACUAUCGGAUAACCCAUAUGUGAUUAGCUGGUAGGUGGGGUAAAGCCUCACCUAGGCGACGAUCUCUAGCUGGUCUGAGAGUAUGAUAGUCCCCACUGGGCUGGAGACACGGCCAGGACUCCGACGGAGGCAGCAUUGGGGAAUAUGGCACAAUGGGCGCAAGCCUGCUGCAGCCCUGCGGCGGGGAUGAAGAAGGCCUUGGGUUUUGAAAGUACUUUCAGCGGGAAGGCGUUACCCGCAUAAGAAGCACCGGCUAACUCCGUGCCAGCAGCCGCGGUAAUUC